ACUCCGUUAAAUAAAAAGCGCUUUCACAUUCACAUUCAAUUAUUGUUCCCAAACGCUCCCUUGACUUCCCCAAACCCCAAAUUCCCAAAUCCCAAAUCCAAAAACGCGUUUCCAUUAACCAACGAUUUCAAACAUGCAAAAUUAGGGUUCAUAGUAUUGCCUUUGAUUUAUUCAAAUCUAAUUCGAAAUGGUGGUUUCCGUAAGUCCUAACGGUGGUUCUACACCGCCACCGCCGCCGCAACAAGAACAAGCUAACAAGGAUAGAUUUACAAAACCUAUCUCCCUUGCUGGUCCUACCGACUCUGAUCGCCAUCGUAACACCGAAUUAGAGAAGUUUUUGGUUGAUUCCGGGCUUUAUGAGAGCAACGAAGAAGCUGCAAGUAGACAAGAGGUUCUUUGCCGCCUCGAUCAGAUCGUGAAAAGCUGGGUGAAGCAGUUGACACGCCAACGAGGCUACACAGAUCAGAUGGUUGAGGAUGCAAAUGCUGUCAUUUUCACUUUUGGCUCUUACCGACUAGGGGUUCACGGACCUGGAGCGGACAUAGACACUUUGUGCAUUGGUCCUUCCUAUGUAAAUCGAGAGCAAGACUUCUUCAUCAUUUUGCAUAACAUCCUGGCUGAAAUGGAAGAAGUUACCGAACUUCACCCAGUUCCUGAUGCACAUGUCCCAGUAAUGAAAUUCAAGUUCCAGGGAAUAUCUAUAGAUUUGCUGUAUGCAAGUAUAUCUAUUUUGGUUGUGCCAGAAGAUCUUGAUAUCUCAGAUGGUUCCAUUCUGUAUGAUGUUGAUGAGCAAACUGUUCGAAGUCUAAAUGGCUGCCGAGUGGCAGAUCAGAUUCUUAAACUGGUUCCAAAUGUUGAGCACUUCCGAACUACGCUGAGAUGUUUGAAGUUUUGGGCCAAAAGACGCGGUGUUUAUUCAAAUGUUACGGGAUUCCUUGGAGGUGUAAACUGGGCUAUUUUAGUUGCUCGAAUUUGCCAGCUUUACCCUAAUGCAAUCCCCAGUAUGUUGGUUUCUAGAUUCUUCAGGGUCUAUUCACAAUGGCGGUGGCCAAACCCUGUAAUGCUAUGCCCUAUAGAAGAGAAUGAACUGCAAUUACCUAUAUGGGAUCCUCGCAGAAACCAUAGGGACAGGUAUCAUAUUAUGCCAAUAAUUACUCCGGCAUACCCUUGCAUGAAUUCCAGCUACAAUGUCUCAACAAGCACUCUUCGUGUUAUGAUGGAACAGUUCUGCUGUGGCAACAAGAUUUGUGACGAAAUUGAGCUUAACAAAUCACAGUGGAGUGCACUUUUUCAGCCUUAUGUCUUUUUUGAGGCAUAUAAAAACUAUUUGCAAGUUGACAUAGUUGCAUUAGAUGCUGAUGAUUUACUUUUGUGGAGAGGUUGGGUAGAAUCCCGUCUGAGACAGCUAACCUUGAAGAUAGAGCGAGAUACCCAUGGGAUGCUGCAGUGUCAUCCUUAUCCACAUGAGUAUGCAGACACGUCCAAGCCCUGUGCACAUUCUGCAUUUUUCAUGGGCUUGCAAAGAAAAGAGGGAGUAAGAGGUCAAGAAGGACAGCAAUUUGAUAUACGUGAAACGGUUGAUGAGUUCAGACAAGAAAUUAUUUCGUAUGGUUAUUGGAAGCCGGGGAUGGAAAUUUAUGUUUCUCAUGUUCGUCGAAAGCAGCUCCCUGCAUUUGUUUUUCCAGAUGGUUACAAACGCACUCGAAUGCCGAGGCAUAUAAACCAUGCAACUGAGAAAAUGGGUGAUGAUACCAGAAAGUGCUACUCUGGAUCUAGCUCUUCUGAAAGGUGCGUCAAGAGGAAGAAUAACUCUGAAAUGGUGGAUGUGAAGCCAGAUAAACCAGAGAAGCGGACAUCUGUUAGCCCACAGAGACUAGAGUGUGUUUCACCUGAAAGUUGUACUAGUAAAUCGGGUGGUACACCUCAAAUGAGUAUUGAGUGUAUUGAAGGGGUUAGGCAAGAUGGAUCAACAACGGAAGAUGUCGAUAGCAAUUGUAAAAUCAAGUCAUCCGAUGGACUCUUAGGAAGUGGUGCAAUUACUGAAGUAGGUGACAUGCAGAUAAAUGGAACAAGUUUUGUUGGCUCCACACAUGAUAAGCUCAAAUCAAAGGCUUUAGAAGUUCUGAAUGAGAAUGGAGUCAAUGGGGAUAAAGCUCGGGACCUGGCUUUUGUUUGCUUGGAAAGGGCAGAAACUACAUCUACAAAAAGCUUGGCAAAUUGGGAAGAGGGUGCUGUUGGAAUGGAUCAACAACUGGACAAAGCUUGUAAUUUCACCAGGGCUGAAUGUUCGGAUUAUGCACCAAGUGCCAGCACCCAGAACCUCAAUUGUGAGGUGAGUUUCUUUAUUUGAGGACUUUUGGAUUAGGAACUGUUGUGGAUGGCAGUGAAAAAAAACUGGGAAGUCUGAGAGAUAGUGAAGGUCAGGGACCUUUGCAGGGUGAUGUUUGUGUGGCUGAUCCUGAUAAGUUCUGAAUAGACAGAUGUCAGACUCAGGAGUGUAUAAAUUGAAGAUGGGACUAGGUCAGAAUUUUUUGUAGAAGCUUGUGAAAGGCAUGCCUUUGAAUUCUUUUAAGUGUAAAAAUACUGUUUCUUUUGGUUUUGGCUUUGUAGGAGGAUGAGUUUGGAGUGCAUCACAUGGAGGUGAAUCAUGGAAGUUGCUGGGAGCUGGUAAACCUUAUUCUAUAUUGAGGCUGUUGCUGUGGUAGGUCAUGGGAAUGUGUAAAGAAGCCAUAUUUGAACAGUCAGGAUGGAAGCUAAUCAGAUUAAGGUUUUGGGGAGUGUUGCAAUGGUCAUUUGUGUACAUUGAUGAACAGCAUGAUGGAGAUGCUUGAAAGUGCGGUCACAUCCUGUUGUGUGUAAAACAUGGGCUCAAUCCAUCUUCAGAACCGUGAAUCAUCUCAUAAAACUUAACAUAUUUAUGUACCAAGGAGUGGGAGAACUUUGUUGUUUUCUUGUGAUGUGGUUGAUAUCAUGUAAUGAAAAUGUAAUCAAAUAGUCUAUUAUGCCAAGUGGUUCAGUAGAGAAAAUGUUGAAACAUAUUUUUGGCGGCAUUCAAUAUGGAAGUCUGUUUUUUUUUUUUUGAAUGGCAUUCAAUAUGGAAGUCUAGAUGGUAGGAGAAAUCAAUCUGUGCAAGGGUUUUGCUGGUCUUUCGA
RNA transcript from Trifolium pratense (red clover), 3152 nucleotides. It is a transcript of the gene named nuclear poly(A) polymerase 4, with no coding region annotated. The record is from RefSeq and is a predicted model, not a curated record. The transcript is spliced from 12 exons. Lineage: Eukaryota; Viridiplantae; Streptophyta; Magnoliopsida; Fabales; Fabaceae.